CCUACGGGAGGCAGCAGUGGGGAAUUUUGGACAAUGGGCGCAAGCCUGAUCCAGCCAUGCCGCGUGCAGGAUGAAGGCCUUCGGGUUGUAAACUGCUUUUGUACGGAACGAAAAGACUCUGGUUAAUACCUGGGGUCCAUGACGGUACCGUAAGAAUAAGCACCGGCUAACUACGUGCCAGCAGCCGCGGUAAUACGUAGGGUGCGAGCGUUAAUCGGAAUUACUGGGCGUAAAGCGUGCGCAGGCGGUUAUAUAAGACAGAUGUGAAAUCCCCGGGCUCAACCUGGGAACUGCAUUUGUGACUGUAUAGCUAGAGUACGGCAGAGGGGGAUGGAAUUCCGCGUGUAGCAGUGAAAUGCGUAGAUAUGCGGAGGAACACCGAUGGCGAAGGCAAUCCCCUGGGCCUGUACUGACGCUCAUGCACGAAAGCGUGGGGAGCAAACAGGAUUAGAUACCCUGGUAGUCCACGCCCUAAACGAUGUCAACUGGUUGUUGGGUCUUCACUGACCCAGUAACGAAGCUAACGCGUGAAGUUGACCGCCUGGGGGNGGUACGGCCGCGAGUAGAACGUAAAGUAAGUUAGAGCGNGAGAGUGACGACGGACGACGACGAGGGAGGAGG
RNAcentral lists this ribosomal RNA (621 nucleotides) under uncultured bacterium. Its description in RNAcentral is "bacterial SSU rRNA". The stretch from base 1 to 542 matches the Rfam family "Bacterial small subunit ribosomal RNA", at positions 338 to 873 of the family's 1533-position model. The record is from RNAcentral.